This 465-nucleotide ribosomal RNA is filed under the name uncultured Klebsiella sp. RNAcentral's name for it is "bacterial SSU rRNA". It matches the Rfam family "Bacterial small subunit ribosomal RNA", at positions 338 to 795 of the family's 1533-position model. Lineage: Bacteria; Pseudomonadati; Pseudomonadota; Gammaproteobacteria; Enterobacterales; Enterobacteriaceae. The record is from RNAcentral.
CCUACGGGGGGCAGCAGUGGGGAAUAUUGCACAAUGGGCGCAAGCCUGAUGCAGCCAUGCCGCGUGUGUGAAGAAGGCCUUCGGGUUGUAAAGCACUUUCAGCGGGGAGGAAGGCGGUGAGGUUAAUAACCUCAUCGAUUGACGUUACCCGCUGAAGAAGCACCGGCUAACUCCGUGCCAGCAGCCGCGGUAAUACGGAGGGUGCAAGCGUUAAUCGGAAUUACUGGGCGUAAAGCGCACGCAGGCGGUCUGUCAAGUCGGAUGUGAAAUCCCCGGGCUCAACCUGGGAACUGCAUUCGAAACUGGCAGGCUAGAGUCUUGUAGAGGGGGGUAGAAUUCCAGGUGUAGCGGUGAAAUGCGUAGAGAUCUGGAGGAAUACCGGUGGCGAAGGCGGCCCCCUGGACAAAGACUGACGCUCAGGUGCGAAAGCGUGGGGAGCAAACAGGAUUAGAUACCCGGGUAGUC